CCUUCGCAUUUUGAAUUGGGUCGACGCCCAAGCCAACCUGCCUUUCCGGGCAAGGUGGAUCGCGAAAGCGGAUGUGGCUCCUGAGCGAGCAAGCAAACGGAUAACG
RNAcentral lists this non-coding RNA (106 nucleotides) under Caballeronia telluris. RNAcentral's name for it is "Burkholderia telluris SAM-I-IV sequence". It matches the Rfam family "SAM-I/IV (S-adenosyl methionine) riboswitch aptamer". From Rfam's summary of the family: It is found upstream of a number of genes which code for proteins involved in methionine or cysteine biosynthesis. It has been found mostly in the order Actinomycetales. The record is from Rfam by way of RNAcentral. Lineage: Bacteria; Pseudomonadati; Pseudomonadota; Betaproteobacteria; Burkholderiales; Burkholderiaceae.